Molecule: ribosomal RNA, 253 nt
Filed under: uncultured bacterium
Lineage: Bacteria
Description: partial 16S ribosomal RNA
Rfam family: Bacterial small subunit ribosomal RNA
Source: RNAcentral
GACGUAGGGGGCAAGCGUUGUUCGGAAUCACUGGGCGUAAAGAGCUCGUAGGCUGGAGAAUAAGUCUUGCAAUAAAUCCCUCGGCUUAACCGGGGGUCAUUGUGAGAUACUGUUUUUCUUGAGAACAGGAGAGGGGAGCGGAAUUCCUAGUGUAGCGGUGAAAUGCGUAGAUAUUAGGAGGAACACCAGUGGCGAAGGCGGCUCUCUGGCCUGUUUCUGACGCUGAGGAGCGAAAGCCGGGGGAGCGAACGGG